Molecule: microRNA precursor, 85 nt
Filed under: Bombyx mori (domestic silkworm)
Lineage: Eukaryota; Metazoa; Arthropoda; Insecta; Lepidoptera; Bombycidae
Description: mir-2807 microRNA precursor family
Rfam family: mir-2807 microRNA precursor family
Source: Rfam by way of RNAcentral
UUAACUCAAUUUUGUAUGGAGUUGGAAUGUUUACUUACGUUUGCCGCUAGGGGCAGUGUUCCAACUGCAUACACAAAUUUGACUU